Molecule: non-coding RNA, 22 nt
Filed under: Drosophila melanogaster (fruit fly)
Lineage: Eukaryota; Metazoa; Arthropoda; Insecta; Diptera; Drosophilidae
Source: RNAcentral
UGAGUGAGAUUAUUUUGUCGUG